CCUCCUCCUCGUCCCCGCCCCCCUGCGGGUCGCUUCCCCCGCCGCCUCCGCCCCCAGAUCCCGCACCGUCUCCGCCUUCCGAUCCGCCGCCGCCGAGCUCGGGCUCCUUGGACGCGACGGCCGCGAGGAGGCGGGCGCCGGGGGAGGCGGAGCGGAGCGAGAGGAGGGCCCGGGGGCGGGCGCGCGCAGGAAGAGGAGGGAGCUCUGGGAGGCGGAGAUCGGGGCCGGGGAGAAGGCGAGGGGCGCGAGGAGUGGGGUCGUGGCGAGGAGGGCCAUGGUUGCCGGUGCUCGAGCUGGGGUUUUGUGGGGGGUCAACUCGGUGGGUGGGCUGCCGGCGGUGGUGAGCUCGGUGAUGUGAUGGACUGCUGAUGUGAUGGGGGAUUUUCCGGGGUGGGUGGCGUGUCACUGUGGGUGGGGCCUUGGGUUUCUAGGCACUUCGAUGGUUUUUCGGCAAAAUGUACAAAAGUGAAUUGAAGAAGCAACAAAUUCAUAAAGUGAACCGUUUUGGAAUUUCUUUACUGGUAUAUUCUUUUAUGUGGCGUUC
This 544-nucleotide long non-coding RNA is filed under the name Hordeum vulgare. RNAcentral describes it as "long non-coding RNA (HVUL_LNC005769)". The record is from RNAcentral. Lineage: Eukaryota; Viridiplantae; Streptophyta; Magnoliopsida; Poales; Poaceae.